CGAAACCAGGUGAUCUACCCUUGGUCAGGUUGAAGUUCAGGUAACACUGAAUGGAGGACCGAACCGACUUACGUUGAAAAGUGAGCGGAUGAACUGAGGGUAGCGGAGAAAUUCCAAUCGAACCUGGAGAUAGCUGGUUCUCUCCGAAAUAGCUUUAGGGCUAGCCUCAAGUGAUGAUUAUUGGAGGUAGAGCACUGUUUGGACGAGGGGCCCCUCUCGGGUUACCGAAUUCAGACAAACUCCGAAUGCCAAUUAAUUUAACUUGGGAGUCAGAACAUGGGUGAUAAGGUCCGUGUUCGAAAGGGAAACAGCCCAGACCACCAGCUAAGGUCCCAAAAUAUAUGUUAAGUGGAAAAGGAUGUGGCGUUGCCCAGACAACUAGGAUGUUGGCUUAGAAGCAGCCAUCA
This 407-nucleotide ribosomal RNA is filed under the name Staphylococcus aureus. RNAcentral describes it as "partial 23S ribosomal RNA". It matches the Rfam family "Bacterial large subunit ribosomal RNA", at positions 716 to 1121 of the family's 2925-position model. Lineage: Bacteria; Bacillati; Bacillota; Bacilli; Caryophanales; Staphylococcaceae. The record is from RNAcentral.